UUCCAAACCCUAAUUAGCCGCCGCCGCCGCCGCCACGAGCCGCCGUGAUCCUCCGACACUCGGCCCCACGGCGCCGCCGCGAAAAUUCUCUCGUCUCCUUGGUGAAUUCUCCGACGCCUCCAUUACAGCAGCGACAGCAGUUUGAAGUUGAGAUUGGUUUGUCGAAGCUGAAUUCGUUCAUAACUCUAUCAUGAUGCUUAAAUGGUAGUGAAAAAAUGUGGUUUCUUGGAGAUGCUGAAUGAGUACUUACAACUCAACCACUGUUCAAUUCACUUCAACAAAUCUGAAAAACAGGGGAACAGUGUCAACAUCCCGAUACCCUCCAUUGGAAUAUGCACGAUCAUGGCCUGAAGUUUCUUGGCUAUGGGGCAAUGGACAGGAUCAAAGAAUCAAGUUCACCCGACAGCUUUGAAUCUUCGAGUGGCUUCAUCACCAGGCAGACGGCUAGCCGGCGAUCAGGUGGGGAUUUGGCGCACUGUACGACACUGAGGAAGAUGUUCUCGUCGCAGGGGAUACAGAGUCUUGUAUUGGCAUUGAAGUCAUAGACAUCCCGAGCUUGAUCAAGCAGUGCCUGGAAGAGCGGGUGCUUCAGCAAGCUUACUUUGAUCACGAACCUCUUCCGACACUCUCCAACAUAUACUACCAAGUGACCCUUUGGGACAUCGCUCGGGACAAUCUUCUCCUCGUGCUUAGAUGACAACGGCCACAGCGACCAUUUACAGCACACGGCGCAGGUAGCACAAGCUCCAAAUCAAGAACCAUAUUGGGAGGAAUGGUAACAAAAUUCUCCAAUAUUGUAUGGUUGAAAUUGCAUGGAGAAACAUAACUGGCAAAGCCAGCCAAUGGAUUCAUGGUUCAUCCCCCUCAGACGAUGUUCAUAUAUCUUCACCCUGUGGGAACCAAUUAAUCCCACCAAGUAACAAGGUACACUGUUACCAAUACCCACAUAUAUCUAUUCUCUAGAUUUAAAUUUUUGGUGGGUAAGUUAGUAAUCUCUUUAAAAUAAUACUUUUCUCCAUACUUGAGCUAGUUGAAAAUUUGACUGAUUUUUGGAUAGAUGGUAAGAUAAUAUAUUUAAAGAACUCUCUGUGUGUAAAUGUAGGAGCUAAUUAGUAUUAUGAAAUAUAUAGACUUGCACAAAUUUUUUAGACGAUUAGGGCAAUUAUGAUUUUUAAGAAGUUGUUUGUUUAUUCUUAAAAUUUAGGAUUAGUUGGGAGCUUGUACUUUUAGAUUUGGAGCCAUUGUUGUGGUUUUGAAAAAGAAAUGUCUUGUUUAUAUAGCUAUCACCAUCAUACAUUGAGUAUUUUUAGUAAAAGCAUAAUUGAAUAAUAUUUAAAUUAAAAAGAUACUAUGACGUUAUUUGAGUUUGAUCUUUGGUUUAAGUAGUGUUUUGAUAGGAUGUUUGUGAGAAAAUUUAUUUAUUUAAUAUUGAAAACCGUAUGGACUAAAUAGUAAAAAAUUGAUUUAAAAUGAAGUAUUGAUUUGAAUUUAUUUUGUUCGUGAUAUUUUGUGAGAAGAAAUAAUAUAUUUUUAUUAAAAAUUAUAGCUAGUGUUGAUUUUGAUUUGA
This is a long non-coding RNA of Andrographis paniculata, 1567 nucleotides long. RefSeq lists it as uncharacterized. The record is from RefSeq and is a predicted model, not a curated record. NCBI's taxonomy places the organism in Eukaryota, Viridiplantae, Streptophyta, Magnoliopsida, Lamiales, Acanthaceae. The transcript is spliced from 6 exons.